CAUUUAUAUUUAUUUCUUUUGCGUUCAUUUUCAAAUUCGCCGUGCAUAUAUUUUUGUGCAUGGCGCUUGAGAGGGCAUCACGUGACUAAAAACGACCAACCAACGACCUCGCUUCGGCCAUCUUGGCAUCUUCAUCUUGGCCACCUUGCUUUGCCGUGGGUGGGUGGAUCGUUGUUAUUUGUGCUUUUUAAGAAUAUUUUUUUAAUUCGGAUACUUUUAUAAUAGCUUUAAUAGUAUUAUUAACAUAGUGAAUAAAAUGGUGUCCUGUUUUUAACGCAGUUGGAGUAGCAGAAACAAAUAAUGUAGAUAAAAAAAUCUGCAGGAAUAACGUUUCAAUUAUGACAGAAGCUCCAAACAAAUGACUGUGAAUGAAAAGCCCUAUUAAAAGCUUUCCAGAAGAUCCUGCGAAGAAGACAUGAAGUAUAGAUCAGAUUUGUUAAUAGAGGAGUAUGUUCAAAACACUUUUUAGAAAAAGAUAUUGACAGAACUUCACUUUCAUCUGUUCGUUUAAGAGACUGUGCUGUUCCAAUAGCUUAUGUCACACAGAAUCAGCUGAGAGAAGUGGUCUACAAAAAACCAGAAAGGAAACGGAAUAUGUGGCUACGAAAAGCAAAAGAAAGGUUUACAAAGCAAAUGUGACACAUUUUUUUAUAAUAUUUAGGAAUGUCAGUAAAUUACAUUAAAAAA
Molecule: long non-coding RNA, 687 nt
Filed under: Diabrotica virgifera virgifera (western corn rootworm)
Lineage: Eukaryota; Metazoa; Arthropoda; Insecta; Coleoptera; Chrysomelidae
Description: uncharacterized LOC126884409
Source: RNAcentral